RNAcentral lists this ribosomal RNA (501 nucleotides) under uncultured bacterium. RNAcentral's name for it is "partial 16S ribosomal RNA". It matches the Rfam family "Bacterial small subunit ribosomal RNA", at positions 29 to 523 of the family's 1533-position model. The record is from RNAcentral.
AUUGAACGCUGGCGGCAUGCCUUACACAUGCAAGUCGAACGGCAGCACGGGUGCUUGCACCUGGUGGCGAGUGGCGAACGGGUGAGUAAUACAUCGGAACGUACCUUGUCGUGGGGGAUACCGCAGCGAAAGCUGUGCUAAUACCGCAUACGCCCUGAGGGGGAAAGCGGGGGAGCGCAAGCACUCGCGCGAUUAGAGCGGCCGAUGCCUGAUUAGCUAGUUGGUGGGGUAAAAGCCCACCAAGGCGACGAUCAGUAGCUGGUCUGAGAGGACGAUCAGCCACACUGGGGCUGAGACACGGCCCAGACUCCUACGGGAGGCAGCAGUGGGGAAUUUUGGACAAUGGGGGCAACCCUGAUCCAGCAAUGCCGCGUGAGUGAAGAAGGCCUUCGGGUUGUAAAGCUCUUUUGUCAGGGAAGAAACACCGGCUCUAACACAGUCCGGGAAUGACGGUACCUAAAGAAGAAGCACCGGCUAACUACGUGCCAGCCGCCGCGGUAA